This 1112-nucleotide long non-coding RNA is filed under the name Amborella trichopoda. RNAcentral describes it as "long non-coding RNA (ATRI_LNC003644)". Lineage: Eukaryota; Viridiplantae; Streptophyta; Magnoliopsida; Amborellales; Amborellaceae. The record is from RNAcentral.
GUGGAUUAUUCACCAUUGUCAAAUACCUCAUACCUCAGUCUAGUGAUCCUUUGAGGUUCUACAUUACAGUUUUCCAUGAGUAUUACUGCUUGUGUCCAUGAUACAAAAUUCAAAAAUUAAAAAUUUAAUUAAUUGUAUAAUUGAAUAAGGCCAAAAUAAUUGCCAGCCAUGUACUAAAUUGCAACAUCAUGCUUUCCCAUAAAUUCAAUUUCAUUAUCAUAAAAUUUAGCCUAAUUCAUUCAUCUGGGAAUUCUUGUAAAACUGAGAAAAAACCACUAAAAUUUUAACAUGUAAAACACAAUAAAAAUUCCCCAAUCAUAAAUCAGGAGAGAACGAAUUGAAAAUGAUCAGACAUCAACCUUCCAUAUCCCUAACUGCUUUCUUGGAAAUCCAAAUCUCUCAAGAGAGAAACUGGUAAGAAGCAGGCGUCAAUAAAAAGAUGGCUUAGAGCUUGCUUCCAUAUCCUAGCUGCUUUCUUGAACAUCCAAAUACUCCCUCUCUAGAGAGAUUGGAAAGAACCAGAUGCCUUCGCUUCUCUCUCUAGUUUCUAGAUUAAGACCUCAAAUCAUUGCUUGUCAGUGCGAUAUCAUCAACCCACUGCGUGUCUCACCGUGUGAGAUCAGAGACAACGAGGAAGGGGAGGAGGGGCCAAAAAACUCUUGCCAUUUUAGGGUAUAGUUGAGAGGGAAGGGAGUAAAAAGGGUGAGGCCUUAUAUUAAGGUGCACCUCAAAACUAUGAAUUUUGAUGCCCCCAAUAUGAAAUUUAAAAUUCGGCGAUGAUGAACUUGAUGAUCUUAAAAAUGGACGGACCAGAUGAUGUGUUAGAAGAUGAACUAUAAUAGGACUAAAAACCCCUUUUUCCUUUCAUGCCUAUGAUAUCAAAGUCGAGAAGUUCGAUUUGAUGUUUUUCCAAGAUAGGACCAACCUUCUCUAGUGGUUUUUUAGGUGCACCUUGCUCUUGGUUGACACUUUAUAUUAACUUUUUUUAAAAGUAAACAGUUAAGGCCGGUUUAAAAAAUGGAUUGGUGUUUUGGAUGGGACACCCUAAUAACACAUCAGGAUUGGUGAAUCAGCAAUUUGGAUUGAAAAUCAAUUAAAUUGAUCGAGUUUAG